CCUACGGGCGGCAGCAGUGGGGGAUAUUGCACAAUGGGGGGAACCCUGAUGCAGCGACGCCGCGUGGGUGAAGAAGCGCCUCGGCGCGUAAAGCCCUGUCAGCAGGGAAGAAAAUGAAGGUACCUGAAGAAGAAGCACCGGCUAACUACGUGCCAGCAGCCGCGGUAAGACGUAGGGGGCAAGCGUUAUCCGGAUUUACUGGGUGUAAAGUGGGCGCAGACGGCGAUGCAAGCCAGGAGUGAAAGCCCGGGGCCCAAGCCCGGGACUGCUCUUGGAACUGCGUGGCUGGAGUGCAGGAGGGGCAAGCGGAAUUCCUGGUGUAGGGGUGAAAGGCGUAGAUAUCAGGAGGAACACCGGUGGCGAAGGCGGCCAGCUGGACUGCAACUGACGUUGAGGCCCGAAAGCGUGGGGAGCAAACAGGAUUAGAUACCCUGGUAGUC
RNAcentral lists this ribosomal RNA (440 nucleotides) under uncultured bacterium. RNAcentral describes it as "partial 16S ribosomal RNA". It matches the Rfam family "Bacterial small subunit ribosomal RNA", at positions 338 to 795 of the family's 1533-position model. The record is from RNAcentral.